CGGCUCGAAGGACUUCGUGCAUU
This 23-nucleotide non-coding RNA is filed under the name Cricetulus griseus (Chinese hamster). Lineage: Eukaryota; Metazoa; Chordata; Mammalia; Rodentia; Cricetidae. The record is from RNAcentral.